Molecule: small nuclear RNA, 102 nt
Filed under: Chlorocebus sabaeus (green monkey)
Lineage: Eukaryota; Metazoa; Chordata; Mammalia; Primates; Cercopithecidae
Source: RNAcentral
GUGCUUGCUUUAGCAGCACCUAUACUAAAAUUGAAUGAUACUGAGAUUAGUGUGACCCUGGCCAAGGAUAGCAGGCAAAUUUGUGAAGCACUCCAUAAAAAA